Molecule: transfer RNA, 72 nt
Filed under: Clostridiales bacterium
Lineage: Bacteria; Bacillati; Bacillota; Clostridia; Eubacteriales
Description: tRNA-Asn
Rfam family: tRNA
About the family: Transfer RNA (tRNA) molecules are approximately 80 nucleotides in length. Their secondary structure includes four short double-helical elements and three loops (D, anti-codon, and T loops).
Source: RNAcentral
UCCUCGAUAGCUCAACGGCAGAGCAUCCGGCUGUUAACCGGAGGGUUGUAAGUUCGAAUCUUACUCGGGGAG